AUCCUGGCUCAGGAUGAACGCUAGCUACAGGCUUAACACAUGCAAGUCGAGGGGCAGCAUGUUGGUUGCUUGCAACCAAUGAUGGCGACCGGCGCACGGGUGAGUAACGCGUAUCCAACCUUCCCCUUAGUAGAGGAUAGCCCGGCGAAAGUCGGAUUAAUACUCUAUGUUCUUCAAUGCGGACAUCUGAGUUGAAGCAAAGAUUUAUCGCUAAGGGAUGGGGAUGCGUCUGAUUAGGUUGCAGGCGGGGUAACGGCCCACCUGGCCUACGAUCAGUAGGGGUUCUGAGAGGAAGGUCCCCCACACUGGUACUGAGACACGGACCAGACUCCUACGGGAGGCGGCAGUGAGGAAUAUUGGUCAAUGGGCGCGAGCCUGAACCAGCCAAGUAGCGUGCAAGGACGACUGCCCUAUGGGUUGUAAACUGCUUUUAUCAGGGAAUAAAGUGAGGCACGCGUGCCUUUUUGUAUGUACCUGAUGAAUAAGGACCGGCUAAUUCCGUGCCAGCCGCGGC
Molecule: ribosomal RNA, 514 nt
Filed under: uncultured bacterium
Lineage: Bacteria
Description: bacterial SSU rRNA
Rfam family: Bacterial small subunit ribosomal RNA
Source: RNAcentral